AUUGAACGCUGGCGGCAGGCCUAACACAUGCAAGUCGAACGGUAACAGGAAGCAGCUUGCUGCUUCGCUGACGAGUGGCGGACGGGUGAGUAAUGUCUGGGAAACUGCCUGAUGGAGGGGGAUAACUACUGGAAACGGUAGCUAAUACCGCAUAACGUCGCAAGACCAAAGAGGGGGACCUUCGGGCCUCUUGCCAUCGGAUGUGCCCAGAUGGGAUUAGCUAGUAGGUGGGGUAACGGCUCACCUAGGCGACGAUCCCUAGCUGGUCUGAGAGGAUGACCAGCCACACUGGAACUGAGACACGGUCCAGACUCCUACGGGAGGCAGCAGUGGGGAAUAUUGCACAAUAGGCGCAAGCCUGAUGCAGCCAUGCCGCGUGUAUGAAGAAGGCCUUCGGGUUGUAAAGUACUUUCAGCGGGGAGGAAGGGAGUAAAGUUAAUACCUUUGCUCAUUGACGUUACCCGCAGAAGAAGCACCGGCUAACUCCGUG
This 490-nucleotide ribosomal RNA is filed under the name uncultured bacterium. RNAcentral describes it as "partial 16S ribosomal RNA". It matches the Rfam family "Bacterial small subunit ribosomal RNA", at positions 30 to 507 of the family's 1533-position model. The record is from RNAcentral.